Molecule: long non-coding RNA, 1459 nt
Filed under: Orbicella faveolata
Lineage: Eukaryota; Metazoa; Cnidaria; Anthozoa; Scleractinia; Merulinidae
Description: uncharacterized LOC110051830, transcript variant X3
Source: RNAcentral
GUCCCAGGCAAUGACUACCGGAGAUCUGCGAACGCAACGUAUGACGUAACAACUUGAUUUUACCCAAAAGUCCUGACUUUCAAAAUGGCGGAUUAAGCAUUUCGCGCCAAUUUGAGUUCGUCGGCGAUCCAUCGCAGAAGCGUCGCGGAUCCACUGGAACAGAUCGCCGAACGUUGUCAGUUGCAACCGGCGACUACGUCGCAGGCAGGUCGGCUGUAUAUGAGAACCGGGCUUAUAUGGGCUAUAUAGGUAUAUGCGGCCUCAAAGGGUAUGGUUUUUCAGCCGUUUUGGUCAUAAAUAGCCGGGGUAUAGAGUUUUUAGGAGUAUGUGUAUUCUAGUUCUUCCUCUUGGCCGGAGAACUAUGGGAUCAUCUGUUCGCACCCGAGAUGCAUGGGACUGUAUGUAUGGGACCAUCUAUGCCCAAAAUUGUAGGGAGGCUAUGUUUUUUAAAGUGGCCGUUGUCGAGAGUUGAGGGCUAGUGGGAGCUGGUACUGUACUCGUGGUUCGCACAUGUCGUACCGUUAAUUUUGUUCAACGGAUUGAUAGAGAAAAAUUGACAUUCGCAAUCUAGUGGGUUUACGGAGGCGGCUGAAUACCGGAGGUGAACAGGAUUGCAGCUAGCCUGUGAAUACGGUUGCCUCUGCGCGGAUACCAUGUAACCCAGCAAACACUGAAAAGGUCAUUUAUUUUUUUCCCCAAGAUCUGAACCUAUUAGGGGAAGAAAAAAAACGCGCCGCAAAACUUGAUGCUGGCACUUUCAUGGUAUUCCUUUCAACAGUUUCCUAAAAUCAAACAAACAAGCAGUCUACAAGCGUUCUACAUUUAUAAUGUUCGCAAGAGGAUGAGCCGAAGUUUUUUGUGUCUUGUUGAAUAACUAAAUCUUAAACUCUUUGAUAAUGGUGGAAUUUGGUGAUCCACAGUUUUUGGGGACGGCUUGCCCUCCCCCACCUCUUCCACGUGCUACGCAGACAGCCCCUCUCCCUCUCCUCUCCCUCUCCUUCCCGUCUUCCAACCGCUUUUUCCCUCUGAUCUUUGCGGGCGCAGUUCGUCUCCGCCAUCUUGCACGUGUGAAAGGUAAAUAGUGGAAAAUUGUGUUUACCGUAAUUUCAAAGUUUUUUUUUUUGCAUGUUGAAGCCAUAUUGUGGAAUGAGGAGAUGUUGUGUUUGAAGACCUCCGGAGGAAUGGACGCAUAAGGUUUUAGGACUUUGUUUGUCUAAACAUCCAAAUGCCAUUUUCUCCUGAAGCAAUACAACACAAGCUUGGCUUACAUGUAGUUGUAGAACCAGCUAGGAAAGCAGACUUUUAGUGAGGAAGUGAUAAGUUCUCCGAUCAUUAAGCACCUUGUUUAAGUUUACUAUGAUACAAAUAAACUUUAGUAGAUGUUUUAAUUUUAGCAAUAGGAAUAAGCUUAACCUCAAUUCUAUAUGGAUUUAUUUUAAAAGUCAUUGCUGUGUUCCAA